UUUGACCUACGGGGGCAGCAGUGAGGAAUAUUGGUCAAUGGGCGGGAGCCUGAACCAGCCAAGCCGCGUGAGGGAAGAAGGUACAGCGUAUCGUAAACCUCUUUUGUCAGGGAACAAAGGCGGGGACUAGUCCCCGGAUGAGGGUACCUGAAGAAAAAGCAUCGGCUAACUCUGUGCCAGCAGCCGCGGUAAUACGGAGGAUGCGCGCGUUAUCCGGAUUUAUUGGGUUUAAAGGGUGCGCAGGCGGCCUGUUAAGUCAGCGGUAAAAUCCCGGGGCUCAACCCCGGCGAGCCGUUGCAACUGGG
RNAcentral lists this ribosomal RNA (305 nucleotides) under uncultured bacterium. RNAcentral describes it as "bacterial SSU rRNA". It matches the Rfam family "Bacterial small subunit ribosomal RNA", at positions 331 to 637 of the family's 1533-position model. The record is from RNAcentral.